This 525-nucleotide ribosomal RNA is filed under the name uncultured bacterium. RNAcentral's name for it is "partial 16S ribosomal RNA". It matches the Rfam family "Bacterial small subunit ribosomal RNA", at positions 355 to 895 of the family's 1533-position model. The record is from RNAcentral.
UGGGGAAUAUUGCACAAUGGGCGAAAGCCUGAUGCAGCAACGCCGCGUGAGUGAUGAAGGCCUUCGGGUUGUAAAAGCUCUGUCUUUUGGGACGAUAAUGACGGUACCAAAGGAGGAAGCCACGGCUAACUACGUGCCAGCAGCCGCGGUAAUACGUAGGUGGCAAGCGUUGUCCGGAUUUACUGGGCGUAAAGGAUGCGUAGGCGGAUUUUUAAGUGAGAUGUGAAAUACCCGGGCUUAACUUGGGUGCUGCAUUUCAAACUGGGAAUCUAGAGUGCGGGAGAGGAGAAUGGAAUUCCUAGUGUAGCGGUGAAAUGCGUAGAGAUUAGGAAGAACACCAGUGGCGAAGGCGAUUCUCUGGACCGUAACUGACGCUGAGGCAUGAAAAGCGUGGGUAGCAAACAGGAUUAGAUACCCUGGUAGUCCACGCCGUAAACGAUGAGUACUAGGUGUAGGAGGUAUCGACCCCUUCUGUGCGCAGUUAACACAAUAAGUACUCCGCCUGGGAAGUACGAUCGCAAGAUU